Molecule: long non-coding RNA, 845 nt
Filed under: Homo sapiens (human)
Lineage: Eukaryota; Metazoa; Chordata; Mammalia; Primates; Hominidae
Description: non-protein coding LINC00683:6
Source: RNAcentral
CUGAAAUGAAAGUGAACUAUGCUCUGUACAAAUGUAUCAUGUUUAAUUCAGGAGAAAUUCAUGCAUUUCUUUGUUCUAUAAAUAUUUACUGGCAGCUCGUUUUGUAUAGGAGGCUGCCACCUCCCAAAAGCCCCCUGCUCCUCGAGUGGGUUGAGCCUGAAACCCCACAUCCACAGACGUGCCCAGCGGCCUUGGGUGCUCAACACAGGCUCGUUCAGAAUAACAGAGUACACCAGUCAUCAUAAGAAGAAAAAUUCACAUUUAAAGUUUGGAAAGCAACAGGACAAAGGUCUGUCUUCAGUGGUGCGUAGACAUGCUCGUGAUUGAAUUGGAAAUAGUUCUCUUUCCUUCUCUCUGACUUCCUAACUGAAAAGCUGCAGCGUGGGGAGAAAGGCUGCUCAGAAGCCUGGAGCCAGAACACGCACCCCGGCUUUUGCAGGGCCGGCUCACUUGGUUAGAAUCAAAGGAAAAGCCUUGUUAUUUGGGAAGCUGGGCGUCCUCACCAAAUUAGGGGAUUUAAUUUGCAGAUAUCUAAGGAGUGCUUUGAAAUGAAAGAUGAACUAAAAUCUGCUCUGAGGCCCGUGAUUUUUCACCAGUGAAGGACUCUCUUGCUGCUGGACAUACAUGAAAAGCAUCAUCUGAUCUGAAACGCAAGUCCCUGCAAGACAGAGGAGAGACUUUAUAAACAUUUUAUACCAUUCUAUGAAAUCAAUUCGAUUCAGGGCUAGAAUUCAAGAAGUAAUCCAUGGGCAAGUAUAUCUGAUGGUAAACCCAAACGAUUAUAUUGUUAACCUCUUGUACUUUUUUUAAUUUUUUAUUAUUUGAUAUUAUUAUCACAAAAGUCG